CCGCCCACGGGGACGACGCGGGCGGAGACAGGCCCGGGCAGGCGCGGCUUCCCCGCGGCUUCCCGCCCGCGCCCUCGCCCUCGCCCUCGCCCUUGCCCGCCGCCGCCGCCACCGCCGCCCCGGUUCCCCACUGACGCCCGCGGCCCGCGAGCCUCGCGGACGUGACGCCGCGGGCGGAAGUGACGUUUUCCCGCGGUUGGCCCGGGCGCUCGGUUGCCGGGCGCGUCCGGUUUUCCUCGGGGGACGUUCCCAUUAUUUUUGUAACGGGAGUCGGGUGAGGACGGGGCGUGCCCGGCGUGCGCGCGCGCCCGCCCGCCUCCCCGCGCGCCUCCCUCGGCUGCUCGCGCCGGCCCGCGCUGCGCGUCAUGCCGCCCAAAGCCCCGCGCAGAGCCGCGGCCGCCGAGCCCCCGCCACCGCCGCCGCCGCCGCCUCGGGAGGACGACCCCGCGCAGGACAGCGGCCCCGAAGAGCUGCCCCUGGCCAGGCUUGAGUUUGAAGAAAUUGAAGAACCCGAAUUUAUUGCAUUAUGUCAAAAGUUAAAGGUACCCGAUCAUGUCAGAGAAAGAGCUUGGCUAACUUGGGAGAAAGUUUCAUCCGUGGAUGGAAUCCUGGAAGGAUAUAUUCAAAAGAAGAAGGAACUCUGGGGCAUCUGCAUCUUUAUCGCAGCAGUUGAUCUAGAUGAGAUGCCAUUCACUUUUACUGAGCUACAGAAAAGCAUAGAAACCAGUGUCUAUAAAUUCUUUGACUUAUUAAAAGAAAUCGAUACCAGUACCAAGGUUGAUAAUGCUAUGUCAAGACUAUUGAAGAAGUAUAAUGUGUUAUGUGCACUCUACAGCAAAUUAGAACGGACGUGUGAACUUAUAUAUUUGACACAACCCAGCAGUGCGUUAUCUACUGAAAUAAAUUCUAUGUUGGUGCUAAAAAUUUCUUGGAUCACUUUUUUACUAGCUAAAGGAGAAGUAUUACAGAUGGAAGAUGACCUGGUAAUCUCAUUUCAGCUAAUGUUGUGUGUAGUUGACUAUUUUAUUAAGUUCUCACCUCCUGCACUACUCAGAGAGCCAUACAAAACAGCUGCAAUCCCCAUUAAUGGUUCACCUCGAACACCCAGAAGAGGUCAGAACAGGAGCGCUCGGAUAGCAAAACAACUAGAAAAUGAUACGAGGAUUAUCGAGGUUCUCUGUAAAGAACACGAGUGUAAUAUAGAUGAGGUGAAAAAUGUUUAUUUCAAAAAUUUUAUCCCUUUUAUAAAUUCACUUGGAAUUGUAUCAUCUAAUGGACUUCCAGAGGUUGAAAGUCUUUCUAAACGCUAUGAAGAAGUUUAUCUUAAAAACAAAGAUUUAGAUGCAAGACUGUUUUUGGAUCAUGAUAAAACACUUCAGACUGAUCCUAUAGACAGUUUUGAAACAGAGAGAACGCCACGAAAAAACAACCCUGAUGAAGAGGCAAACGUGGUUACUCCACACACUCCAGUUAGGACUGUUAUGAAUACUAUUCAACAAUUAAUGGUGAUUUUAAAUUCUGCAAGUGAUCAGCCAUCAGAAAAUCUGAUUUCCUACUUCAAUAAUUGCACAGUGAAUCCAAAAGAAAAUAUCCUAAAGAGAGUAAAGGAUGUUGGGCACAUCUUUAAAGAGAAGUUUGCUAACGCUGUGGGCCAGGGCUGUGUUGACAUCGGAGUACAGCGAUAUAAACUUGGAGUCCGAUUGUAUUACCGUGUGAUGGAAUCCAUGCUUAAAUCAGAAGAAGAACGUUUGUCCAUUCAGAAUUUUAGCAAACUCCUAAAUGACAACAUCUUUCAUAUGUCUUUACUGGCCUGUGCUCUUGAAGUUGUAAUGGCUACGUAUAGCAGAAGUACAUUGCAGCAUCUUGAUUCUGGAACAGAUUUGUCCUUCCCGUGGAUUCUGAACGUACUUAAUUUAAAAGCCUUUGAUUUUUACAAAGUGAUUGAAAGUUUUAUCAAAGUGGAAGCCAACUUGACAAGAGAAAUGAUAAAACAUUUAGAAAGAUGUGAGCAUCGAAUCAUGGAAUCCCUUGCAUGGCUUUCAGAUUCACCUUUAUUUGAUCUCAUUAAGCAGUCCAAGGAUGGAGAAGGACCUGAUAACCUUGAACCUGCUUGUCCUCUCAGCCUGCCUCUCCAGGGUAACCAUACUGCAGCAGAUAUGUAUCUUUCUCCUCUAAGAUCUCCAAAGAAAAGAACUUCCACUACACGUGUAAAUUCUGCUGCAAAUACAGAGACACAAGCAGCCUCAGCCUUCCAUACUCAGAAGCCAUUGAAAUCUACCUCCCUUGCCCUGUUUUACAAAAAAGUGUACCGUCUAGCAUAUCUCCGACUAAAUACACUCUGUGCACGCCUUCUGUCUGACCACCCAGAGCUAGAGCACAUCAUCUGGACUCUGUUUCAGCAUACAUUGCAAAAUGAGUAUGAGCUCAUGAGAGACCGACAUUUGGACCAGAUUAUGAUGUGCUCUAUGUAUGGCAUCUGCAAGGUGAAGAACAUCGACCUCAAGUUCAAAAUCAUCGUCACUGCCUACAAGGAUCUUCCUCACGCUGCCCAGGAGACCUUUAAACGUGUUUUGAUCAGAGAAGAGGAGUUUGAUUCCAUUAUAGUAUUCUAUAACUCCGUUUUCAUGCAGAGACUAAAAACAAAUAUUUUACAGUAUGCCUCCACCAGGCCUCCUACCUUGUCACCAAUACCUCACAUUCCUCGAAGCCCUUACAAGUUUUCUAGUUCACCCUUACGGAUUCCUGGAGGUAACAUCUAUAUAUCACCCCUAAAGAGUCCUUAUAAAAUUUCAGAAGGUCUGCCAACACCCACAAAAAUGACUCCGAGAUCAAGAAUCUUGGUCUCAAUUGGUGAAUCAUUUGGGACAUCUGAAAAGUUCCAGAAAAUAAACCAGAUGGUGUGUAAUAGUGACAGAGUGCUCAAAAGAAGUGCUGAAGGCGGCAACCCCCCCAAACCACUGAAAAAGCUGCGCUUUGACAUCGAGGGAGCCGAUGAAGCAGAUGGGAGUAAACAUCUCCCAGCGGAGUCCAAAUUCCAACAGAAACUGGCAGAAAUGACUUCCACUCGAACACGAAUGCAAAAGCAGAGAAUGAAUGAGAGCAAGGAUGUCUCAAACAAGGAGGAAAAGUGAGGACCUCAGGGCCCUGGACCCUCAGCCCUGGGGACACCAGACUCCUGGCUCAUGGUUGUGACUAGUUCCCAGGUUCUGCUCAUGUUAGAGAUAUAAAAUGUGCAGAUUCCUCUCUUACAGCUCGAGCGGCCUUCUCAGUCGAACCGUUCACGUUGCGAGCUGCUGGCGGCCGCAACAUUUUGGCGCCGGAACUGGGACCUGAAGAAUGGCAGAGAGAUGCUAAGAGGAACGCUGCAUUGGAGCUCCACAGGAAAGGAUCUUCGUAUCGGACAUCGGAGCAACGGACAGGUACACAUGCUAGCGCUAGCUUAAAAUUUCAGUUUUGUAAAGUGUUGCUAAGGAUGCGGUAGGAUACGAAUUAAGCUUGAAUCAGUGCUAACCCAACGCUGGUUCUGCUUGGGUCAGCAGCGUGUUAAUCGGAACUAGAAACGGAAACAGGCAGGUUAGCCGCAGCUUUUUAGGAAGCUGCUUAGGUGGAAGAAGAAAGGGUUUAAAGUCAUGGAUCAGGCGGUUGCCAAUAGUUUUCAGGAGUUGUUUCAGGCCAGAGGAGUAAGGCUCGAAGUACAAUUAGUAAAAAAUUUUUUAGGUAAGAUAGAUAGCUGUUGCCCAUGGUUCAAGGAAGAAGAAACACUAGAUUGUGGAACCUGGGAGAAAGUUGGUGAGGCCUUAAAAAUCACUCAGGCAGAUAAUUUUACCCUAGGCCUCUGGGCGCUCGUAAAUGAUGCAAUAAAAGAUGCCACUUCCCCAGGGCUAAGUUGCCCCCAGGCGGAGCUUGUGGUAUCUCAGGAGGAGUGCCUGUCAGAGAGGGCCUCCUCAGAAAAAGAUCUUCUUAACUCAAAAAUUGAUAAAUGUGGAAACUCGGAUGAAAAACUGAUUUUUAACAAAAAUCACUCAGAUAGAGGAGCUGCCCAUUACCUUAAUGAGAAUUGGUCCUCUUGUGAAUCUCCCGCUCCACCUGUAGUCCCCACUUCGGGAGGUGCCACUCAUAGGGACACACGACUAAGCGAGUUAGAGUUUGAGAUUAAGCUUCAGAGGCUGACUAAUGAGCUUCGGGAACUAAAAAAGAUGUCAGAAGCGGAGAAGAGUAACUCUUCUGUAGUUCACCAGGUGCCGCUAGAAAAGGUUGUGAGUCAGGCUCGUGGGAAAGGACAGAAUAUGUCUAAUACGCUAGCCUUUCCGGUGGUCGAGGUAGUUGAUCAACAAGAUACUAGGGGCAGACAUUACCAGACCUUAGAUUUCAAGUUGAUAAAAGAGUUAAAGGCGGCUGUUGUGCAAUAUGGCCCUUCAGCCCCGUUCACUCAAGCAUUACUGGACACAGUUGUGGAGUCACACUUAACCCCUUUAGAUUGGAAGACUCUUUCUAAGGCUACCCUGUCAGGAGGAGAUUUUUUGCUUUGGGAUUCUGAAUGGCGAGACGCCAGUAAAAAAACUGCUGCUUCUAACGCUCAGGCUGGUAACUCAGACUGGGAUAGCAACAUGCUUUUAGGAGAGGGCCCUUAUGAGGGACAGACAAAUCAGAUUGAUUUUCCCGUUGCAGUGUACGCGCAAAUUGCGACGGCCGCACGCCGUGCUUGGGGAAGGUUGCCAGUCAAAGGAGAGAUUGGUGGAAGUUUAGCUAGCAUUCGGCAGAGUUCUGAUGAACCAUAUCAGGAUUUUGUGGACAGGCUUUUGAUUUCAGCUAGUAGAAUUCUUGGAAGUCCGGACACGGGAAGUCCUUUCGUUAUGCAAUUGGCUUAUGAG
Mus musculus (house mouse) is the source of this 4871-nucleotide RNA transcript. It is a transcript of the gene named RB transcriptional corepressor 1, with no coding region annotated. The transcript has 28 exons. The record is from RefSeq and is marked validated. NCBI's taxonomy places the organism in Eukaryota, Metazoa, Chordata, Mammalia, Rodentia, Muridae.